Molecule: long non-coding RNA, 682 nt
Organism: Anthonomus grandis grandis
Lineage: Eukaryota; Metazoa; Arthropoda; Insecta; Coleoptera; Curculionidae
Exons: 2
Source: RefSeq, a predicted model, not a curated record
AAUCUAGAAAUAAGUAUAACUAUGCAUACAACCGCUUCAUGGACUACCGUACGAAUAAAAAUGUAACUUCUUUCUCGGAAAAUGUUGUAAUGGCAUACUUCUUGGAGCUUGGUUCCAAGAUGAAUUCUUCAACUUUAUGGGCCAAUUAUUCAAUGCUGAAGGCAACCCUUGCUAUUAGAGAUGAUGUGGAUAUAUCUGAAUAUUCAAAACUUCGGGCAUUCCUGAAACAACAAGCACAUGCCUAUAAGCCAAAAAAAUCCAAGAUUUUAACUAAAGAAGAAAUAAACAAAUUUAUUCAGGAAGCUCCAGACAAGGAAUAUUUAAUGAUUAAGGUAGCUGUAAUAUUUGGAAUUUCCGGAGCUUGCAGAAUGGACGAGCUGGUUAAAAUGACUGUACAAGAUAUACAAGACCUACUAUCUAAACUUUUAGUUACCAUACCGGAUUCAAAAACCAAUACAUCAAGAUCAUUUAUAGUAAUAGUUAUUGUCAUACAAAUAAAAUUAUUAGUUUGGAAAAUAUUCAACAAAAUAAUGCUAUUAGUUCCCAAGUUCUUCCAGUUUUCAAUACUUGUACUAAUUGUCAAAUAACAGUAAAUAUAACAAAUAAUAAGUAAUAAUUUUAAAAUAUAAUGUUAACCUUGUUUGUGCUGAAAGUUUUAAAAAUAAAAUUGUUUAGGAAAAAG